AAGAGGUGCUGAAGAAGUGUGCACAGGAGUACCUGUCCCGAGUGAAGAAGGAGGAGCAGAGGUACCAGGCUCUGAAGGUGCACGCAGAGGAGAAACUGGACAGGGCCAACGCCGAGAUCGCCCAGGUUCGAGGCAAGGCCCAGCAGGAGCAAGCUGCCUACCAGGCCAGCUUGCGGAAGGAGCAGCUGCGAGUGGACGCUCUGGAAAGAACGCUGGAGCAGAAG
This is a long non-coding RNA of Galeopterus variegatus (Sunda flying lemur), 224 nucleotides long. RefSeq lists it as uncharacterized. The transcript is spliced from 2 exons. The record is from RefSeq and is a predicted model, not a curated record. Lineage: Eukaryota; Metazoa; Chordata; Mammalia; Dermoptera; Cynocephalidae.